ACAAAGUUGAAAACUUCAAAUAUCACAAAGUUAAAAAGUAAACUUUAUUUGCUCUAAAGAUUAAUGGCAUUCAAAGCCAUGAAAAUAUGGGUUGUGGUGAUAUUGAUGAUAAUGUUAAUUGGAUCGGAAGUUGAAUGCAUCUCUAACUCUCAAGAAUUUAAGUCAAUGAAGCUACCUGGACCUUUGUGUGAAGCAAAGUGUGAUUUUGUUUGUGCAAGAGUUGGUAAAGUUGAAGAAAGAUUCAAAUGUGUGGAAGAUUGUAAAAAAAAUAAAUGCUAAGAGUAAUAUUGCAAUGAUUCAUAACAUAACGAAUGGUAUUUAUUUAUUUAAAUUUUAUCAUCAUAUUUUAUUAAUUCAUUUUUUGAAAUUUAUAAAUACUUAUAUUUUUAUUUUUACAUUGUAGGUACUCAUGCGUGUGGUGCAAACAUACCUUCGUUAAUUCUUUGAGUCUUGCAACACUAUCAAGUUCAAGUUGAAUAAAUUUAUUUUAAUUAAGAAUUUCAGCAUUUUUGUUUUUUAUAAUCACUAUAUUGAAGGAUUUAUUUUAUUUAUCUUCUAGGUUGGUUAAUUU
RNAcentral lists this long non-coding RNA (571 nucleotides) under Lathyrus oleraceus (garden pea). RNAcentral describes it as "Pisum sativum (pea) long non-coding RNA (PSAT_LNC040922)". Lineage: Eukaryota; Viridiplantae; Streptophyta; Magnoliopsida; Fabales; Fabaceae. The record is from RNAcentral.